This 305-nucleotide ribosomal RNA is filed under the name uncultured bacterium. RNAcentral's name for it is "bacterial SSU rRNA". It matches the Rfam family "Bacterial small subunit ribosomal RNA", at positions 337 to 659 of the family's 1533-position model. The record is from RNAcentral.
UCCUACGGGGCGCAGCAGUGGGGAAUAUUGCACAAUGGGGGGAACCCUGAUGCAGCAAUGCCGCGUGGGUGAAGAAGUACUCCGGUACGUAAAGCCCUGUCAGCAGGGAAGAAAAUGACGGUACCUGACUAAGAAGCCCCGGCUAACUACGUGCCAGCAGCCGCGGUAAUACGUAGGGGGCGAGCGUUAUCCGGAUUUACUGGGUGUAAAGGGAGCGCAGGCGGCGGGGCAAGUCAGAUGUGAAAACCCGGGGCCCAACCCCGGGACUGCACUUGAAACUGCGAUGCUGGAGUGCCGGAGAGGCA